RNAcentral lists this ribosomal RNA (441 nucleotides) under uncultured bacterium. Its description in RNAcentral is "partial 16S ribosomal RNA". It matches the Rfam family "Bacterial small subunit ribosomal RNA", at positions 338 to 795 of the family's 1533-position model. The record is from RNAcentral.
CCUACGGGAGGCAGCAGUGGGGAAUAUUGGACAAUGGGCGCAACCCUGAUGCAGCAACGCCGCGUGAAGGAAGACGGCCUUCGGGUUGUAAACCUCUGUUCUUAAUGAAGAAUAGUGACGGUAGCUAAGCAGCAAGCCACGGCUAACUACGUGCCAGCAGCCGCGGUAAUACGUAGGUGCCAAGCGUUGUCCGGAAUUACUGGGUGUAAAGGGAGCGCAGGCGGGAAGCCAAGUCAGCUGUGAAAGCUACGGGCUUAACUUGUAGACUGCAGUUGAAACUGGUUUUCUUGAGUGAAGUAGAGGUUGGCGGAAUUCCGAGUGUAGCGGUGAAAUGCGUAGAUAUUCGGAGGAACACCGAUGGCGAAGGCGGCCAACUGGGCUGUAACUGACGCUGAUGCUCGAAAGUGUGGGGAGCAAACAGGAUUAGAUACCCUUGUAGUC